This is a long non-coding RNA of Oreochromis niloticus (Nile tilapia), 3421 nucleotides long. RefSeq lists it as uncharacterized. The record is from RefSeq and is a predicted model, not a curated record. The transcript is spliced from 12 exons. Lineage: Eukaryota; Metazoa; Chordata; Actinopteri; Cichliformes; Cichlidae.
CUUAUCGUAAAUGGACUGGUUCUUGUGUAGUGGUUUUCUACCCUACCUGAGUAUUCAAACUGGUUUAUAGAGCACUUACCCAUUUAUACAAGUGCUGAUUGGAGCUUUGUUCAAACUGUAUUUCUGAAAGAGAUCAGAAAUUUCUGGAAACUUCAAAUUCAAACAAAUUUUCUUCUUUUAUAUAAAUGUCCAUUUCUUUUGGCAUAAAAAACAAUUAUGAAAUGGUUGAUUAGAUUCUGUCAUGGUGUAGUGUAUUUGACCAUGGUUUCUGAGUUUGUUUGGACUUUUUCUUCCUUUGAAAUUAUGAGAUGUUGAUGUUUAGUUGUUGAGCCUCUGAGUUUUAGUUACUCAUGUUUCUAGGUUGUGGUUGUUGUUUGCUUUUGUGUCUGUUCCUUUUGUGUGUCCAGUCAGUGUUCCGUCUUCAGCAUCUCCUGUUGUCUCUCUAAAAUAUGUUUUAGAGAGAUGUUUUGUCUCCCCAGUCUGUCAGGUGUCUCCACGUCUGUUUAUCACCUGUCCUAGUGUCAUGCUAAUGUGUCUUUGUCUGAGUCUCAGUGUGCACAUUACUUCUUGUUUUAUGUUGACAGUCCUUCGUCUCGUGUUUUGUGUUCAGUUUUACUUCCCCUCUUGCUCGUUAAUUGACUCAGUUCACCUGCACCUUUAUUUCCCAGCUGUGUCUUAUUCCCUGAUUACCUCAUAUGUAUUUAAGCCCUACGUUUUCCUUAGUUCUUUGUUGUCUUCAGCUACCUGGAUUUGCUGCCUGAUCAGAAUAAAGGAGCCAUGACAUCCCAUCAUGCCUCUGGGAUGCUCAUUGUCCUCAGUGUAUUCCUGAUUUUAUAUACACCACAAUGCAAUGGAGGAAGUAUUCUUGUGGUUCUUUUAGAUGGCAGUCACUGGAUCAAUAUGAAAAUCUUGCUUGAAGAACUUCAUGCUAGGGGACACAAUCUGACUGUGAUCAGGCCCUCCACGAGCUGGUACAUCCCUGAAAAGUCUGAUCUAUACACAUCCAUUACAGUUGAAAUGGCUGUAAAUUUUGAGCAGUUAUUAUGUGUUCCUACAGGAGCAGAUAAAGGUGCAAAGAGAGGGAGGACCACUGACCACCUUCAAACUCACCAAGGGUUUAAUAUCUUUGCUUUGCACAUUCACUGUGGUAUGAUGCUAUCAAACAUAUUUUUGAUGAUCAAAAUAUGAUCAAGAGAUUCCGAGUAUGAUCUGGCUCUAGCUGAUCCAGCUUUGGCCCCAGGGCUUAUUCUAGCCAAAUAUCUCAAGCUUCCCUUAGUGCUCAACGUACGCUGGAUCACCAGUGGAGAAGGCCGCUUUGUGUUAGCUCCCUCACCACUCUCUCAUAUCCCAGUGCCAGGAUACGGCUUAACAGACAAAAUGAAUUUCAUCCAGAGGAUCAAGAACAUUUUUUUUCCGCACCAUUUUAUUAUUUCAGCAGAAAUUUUUGGUGGAUCCAGUCUAUGACGCCAUGUGUGAGAAAUAUAUUGAAGGUGGAUGUGACAUCAUCUCACUUCUUCAGGAAGCAGACAUUUGGCUGUUCAGGUCAGAUUUUGUGUUUGAAUUCCCUCGCCCCACUAUGCCAAAUGUUGUCUAUAUAGGAGGAUUUCAGUGCAAACCAGCUCAGCCUCUGCCAGCAGAGCUGGAGGAGUUUGUUCAGAGCACCGGGCAACAUGGAGUGAUCAUCAUGACUCUGGGAACUCAUGUCAAUGCUUUGCCCAAAGAUGUUACAGAGGAAAUCGCCGGUGUCUUUGCCAAGAUGCCCCAGAAGAAACUGCGACUCCUUCACAAUGUCAGAUUACCUUGUGGGAGUAGUUGGACCAAACUCUAUUGGUAUUUCAAGUUUGAAAUCCCUGUUUGACCAGACAAACAUUUCAGAUGAGGUAAUAGAUGGCCUAAUCUAUUUGCAGUGUGAGAAUUUCCCUCACAUUUAUCCAAUACCAAGCCAAAUCACUGGAAAAAUUUUGGAUGGGUCCAUAAGAGCACAAAGUGCAUACUUUUUGAAGAAAAACAUCUUUCAGAUGUAUGAGAAAUUGAUUGGAGCCUGUCUGGAAAACGGCAGCCACUGGACCUUGUUUGUAAGUUGCACAGAUUUUGCACUCUCUCUAGUGCAUGAUACUUUUCAGUGUCCCUCAUUAGGAAGGCUCAAGGCCCAAGCCUACCAUAUCCAUCUUUUUACAAAACAGUUUUGUGACAUACCCAAGAGGACCAUAGUCUAUAUGAAUUCAUUUGGAGAGUCGGAGGUCAGAAAAAGUGCGGUGUUGAAAAACUGGAGCUCAUUUGCUUCAGCAAGAGGCUGCACUGGAGAGUGGACUUUGUCACAUGUGAGCCACCCACAUCAACAGGAUGGGAACUCAUGUGGAGUGCAUGUCAUAAUGUUUGCCCAAUCUCUCAUUGAGGGUAAAACACAUGUGGAGGAGUACAACACUGAAAUCCCAAAGCUCAGGUCCCGACUUUGCCACUACUUAUUUUCCUCAAUAGAUCGAACUAGGAAGUGCAGUCAGUGCUGGUGUGUGAUUGCAGCCAAAGACCGGGUGCAGUGCCAGAAAUGUGGUGCAUACAAGCACAUGCGUUGUUCAAAGUCUGUUUGUGGCAUCUGUAUCUUCUGUGAGAGUAAGUCACAAUAUAACUAAACAAUGUCCAAAAAUGUUUAAAGUGAAAGAAUUUUUGUAAUUUUGCCUUUGCACACCAGGACUGUGUAAUUAAAGUGGACGUUUCAAGAUCCAGUUUUUACACAAAACUAUUUUAGACAUAACUGUGUCGUAUUGUGGGGAUUUCCCUUCACAAUUAAAUUGAUAUAGUGCUGUUUAUAUCAUCACAGCAGAGGGAAAGGAGUUGUGCAGCAUAGUAGGUGGCUAUACAGGAGGAGCAAUAGAAGUAGCCAGCGAAGAAUGUCAUCAGGGAAAGCAUCAGGCAGCGAAUGAGAAAGGAAAAGUUCCUAAGGGAGAGGACAUCUGCAGCAAACCGACAAGUAACAGUGAGAUAGGAGGACUGACAGUCAGAGAUGAAGGUAAACAGACUGAAGACAAAGAAAAAGAAACAGAAGUAUACAGCACAAGUCUGAGUACAGAUAAUGCUGCUGCUGAUGAUGUUGACAGGAUCGAUGCAGAUACAGAAUUUCAAACUGAUUCAGAAGGAACUAGUACAGUUUACAGAGUGCAUGGUCGCUUAUCUGUACUAAGCUCAAAAAAGAAAACCUACACAAUAACAGAAGACGAGAUCAAGCGCAGAAUCCAAGCAGAGAACAUGUCAGUUCAUGUUUUCAGAGGUUUGAUUGGGGUAGGUAUACAUUUCAUGAUUUUGAUGUCACCUGAAAUAAAUCCGGGUUACUCGUAUCAAUGAAGUGACAAUGUGGCUGGAAAUUGUGCAUUUGCUGCAACAUAUACACAAUUACACCAUGUAAACAAAAGCAUGUGUGUGUGUG